Molecule: ribosomal RNA, 434 nt
Filed under: uncultured bacterium
Lineage: Bacteria
Description: partial 16S ribosomal RNA
Rfam family: Bacterial small subunit ribosomal RNA
Source: RNAcentral
AGCGAACGCUGGCGGCAGGCCUAACACAUGCAAGUCGAACGAACCCUUCGGGGUUAGUGGCGGACGGGUGAGUAACACGUGGGAACGUGCCUUUAGGUUCGGAAUAACUCAGGGAAACUUGUGCUAAUACCGAAUGUGCCCUUCGGGGGAAAGAUUAAUCGCCUUUAGAGCGGCCCGCGUCUGAUUAGCUAGUUGGUGGAGGUAAUGGCUCACCAAGGCGACGAUCAGUAGCUGGUCUGAGAGGAUGAUCAGCCACAUUGGGACUGAGACACGGCCCAAACUCCUACGGGAGGCAGCAGUGGGGAAUCUUGCGCAAUGGGCGAAAGCCUGACGCAGCCAUGCCGCGUGAAUGAUGAAGGUCUUAGGAUUGUAAAAUUCUUUCACCGGGGACGAUAAUGACGGUACCCGGAGAAGAAGCCCCGGCUAACUUCGUG